RNAcentral lists this ribosomal RNA (798 nucleotides) under Bacillus sp. SKR4. RNAcentral describes it as "bacterial SSU rRNA". It matches the Rfam family "Bacterial small subunit ribosomal RNA", at positions 588 to 1383 of the family's 1533-position model. Lineage: Bacteria; Bacillati; Bacillota; Bacilli; Caryophanales; Bacillaceae. The record is from RNAcentral.
UCUGAUGUGAAAGCCCACGGCUCAACCGUGGAGGGUCAUUGGAAACUGGGGGACUUGAGUGCAGAAGAGGAGAGCGGAAUUCCACGUGUAGCGGUGAAAUGCAUAGAGAUGUGGAGGAACACCAGUGGCGAAGGCGGCUCUCUGGUCUGUAACUGACGCUGAGGCGCGAAAGCGUGGGGAGCGAACAGGAUUAGAUACCCUGGUAGUCCACGCCGUAAACGAUGAGUGCUAAGUGUUAGAGGGUUUCCGCCCUUUAGUGCUGCAGCAAACGCAUUAAGCACUCCGCCUGGGGAGUACGGUCGCAAGACUGAAACUCAAAGGAAUUGACGGGGGCCCGCACAAGCGGUGGAGCAUGUGGUUUAAUUCGAAGCAACGCGAAGAACCUUACCAGGUCUUGACAUCCUCUGACACUCCUAGAGAUAGGACGUUCCCCUUCGGGGGACAGAGUGACAGGUGGUGCAUGGUUGUCGUCAGCUCGUGUCGUGAGAUGUUGGGUUAAGUCCCGCAACGAGCGCAACCCUUGAUCUUAGUUGCCAGCAUUUAGUUGGGCACUCUAAGGUGACUGCCGGUGACAAACCGGAGGAAGGUGGGGAUGACGUCAAAUCAUCAUGCCCCUUAUGACCUGGGCUACACACGUGCUACAAUGGAUGGUACAAAGGGCAGCAAAACCGCGAGGUUAAGCCAAUCCCAUAAAACCAUUCUCAGUUCGGAUUGCAGGCUGCAACUCGCCUGCAUGAAGCCGGAAUCGCUAGUAAUCGCGGAUCAGCAUGCCGCGGUUGAAUACGUUCCCGGGCCUUG